Molecule: ribosomal RNA, 542 nt
Filed under: soil fungal sp. DM2-009
Lineage: Eukaryota; Fungi
Description: eukaryotic LSU rRNA
Rfam family: Eukaryotic large subunit ribosomal RNA
Source: RNAcentral
UACGGCGAGUGAGCGGCACAGCUCAAAUUUGAAAUCUGGCCUUCUGGUCCGAAUUGUAAUUUGUAGAGGAUGAUUUUGGUGCGGUACCUUCCGAGUUCCUUGGAACAGGACGCCUUAGAGGGUGAGAGCCCCGUACGGUUGGAUGCCUAGCCUUUGUAAAUCUCCUUCGACGAGUCGAGUAGUUUGGGAAUGCUGCUCUAAAUGGGAGGUAAAUUUCUUCUAAAGCUAAAUAUUGGCCAGAGACCGAUAGCGCACAAGUAGAGUGAUCGAAAGAUGAAAAGCACUUUGAAAAGAGGGUUAAAUAGCACGUGAAAUUGUUGAAAGGGAAGGAUUUAUGACCAGACUUUUUCUAGGCGGAUCAUCCGGUGUUCUCACCGGUGCACUUUGUCUAGUUUAGGCCAGCAUCGAUUUUCGGCAGCGGAUAAAAGCUUCAGGAAUGUGGCUCCUCCGGGAGUGUUAUAGCCUGUUGUAUAAUACGCCGCUGGGGAUCGAGGUACGCGCUUCUGCAAGGAUGCUGGCGUAAUGGUUAUCAAUCACCCGUC